CCCUGGCUCAGAUUGAACGCUGGCGGCAGGCCUAACACAUGCAAGUCGAGCGGAUGACAGGAGCUUGCUCCUGAAUUCAGCGGCGGACGGGUGAGUAAUGCCUAGGAAUCUGCCUGGUAGUGGGGGACAACGUUUCGAAAGGAACGCUAAUACCGCAUACGUCCUACGGGAGAAAGCAGGGGACCUUCGGGCCUUGCGCUAUCAGAUGAGCCUAGGUCGGAUUAGCUAGUUGGUGAGGUAAUGGCUCACCAAGGCGACGAUCCGUAACUGGUCUGAGAGGAUGAUCAGUCACACUGGAACUGAGACACGGUCCAGACUCCUACGGGAGGCAGCAGUGGGGAAUAUUGGACAAUGGGCGAAAGCCUGAUCCAGCCAUGCCGCGUGUGUGAAGAAGGUCUUCGGAUUGUAAAGCACUUUAAGUUGGGAGGAAGGGCAGUAACYUAAUACGUUGCCGUCUUGACGUUACCGACAGAAUAAGCACCGG
This 484-nucleotide ribosomal RNA is filed under the name Pseudomonas sp. CL3.58. RNAcentral describes it as "bacterial SSU rRNA". It matches the Rfam family "Bacterial small subunit ribosomal RNA", at positions 17 to 496 of the family's 1533-position model. Lineage: Bacteria; Pseudomonadati; Pseudomonadota; Gammaproteobacteria; Pseudomonadales; Pseudomonadaceae. The record is from RNAcentral.